UUUAAACCGUGAAAGAUGCUUAUUUGUGAUGUGCCUUUACCGUAAGAAUCCGUGAAAUUGAAUUAUCUUUGCCGGCGUUGUUCAAUUUUCUCCGUCUUCUACCAACCCGUAAACCGACCACACCGUCCCCUCCGUUUUCUUCCGGCGUCGUCUUCGCUGCGAAACGGGUAAUCAUUUAUGUUUUAUGCAUUCCCUCGUUUCGUGAAGCUCUGCUUUUUGUUUGAAUCAAAGCGAUAGAGCGAGUUAGUGAUGAGAUAGUAGGACUCGAAGUAUUCUGCAUCCCAAUUGUUGUUUAUGUUUUUUCAGGCUUUAGUGAUGAGACUUUCUUUUGGUUUGUUUUUGCAUUUUCUUGGGAAUUAUCGAGAGUGCUUCCGAUGAAUCUUAGAUUGAUUAAAAUUCUGAUUUCUUCGUCCUUAUAGUUGUUAUCUUGUUGUAUCACAGAGAAGAAGAAGCUUUCAACUGAGUUGCUGGAAAGUGUUGUUUAUAACUCUCUAACAAAAAAAAAAAAAAUUUAUUCUGAUGAACCUAACAAGGGUUCAGGGUUGGAGUUACAAAUUUGGUUAGAAAUCAUCACUGUUAAAAAAAAAAACAAUUAUUAAAAAUAUCCUAUGAACCCCAGUGAGGAUAUCAGGGAUGGAGAUGCCCUAACACCUGUUAAAAAUUAAAACACCUUGAUAAUUGAUGUGUCUAUAAAAAAAGUAACACCUGGGUAUGUCUAUAAAAGUUAACAGAAAAAAUAGUACAUAUAAAAAUAGAGUGAAUAUUUAAUAUGUAGUACAGUGAAAACAUGAUAAUACAGUGGGUUCCACGUCUUAUUUUUCAAAACAAAUAAUUGUAAGCAAAGCACUUCGUCACAAAUGAUGUCUUUUCUUAACCACAAAGAAUUGUUUAAUGGCUAAUCGUCGAUCAUGUUCAAAAUCCGAACAUGUUAAUCUACCCCUCAGUAUAUUAAUAUAUGCAUAAUGGUAUGAAUAAUAAUCGGUUCUAUUAAAAUAAAAUAUUUGUAAACAGAAAUUAUGACUUGUAACUUUACUCAAAAUGUAGUGUCUCUAAGAAAGUAUGUUAGGAGUUAGGACCUUAGGUAGUGAACAAAAAUAAUAAAUCAGAGAAAAAACUUUAUCAUUAAUUUUGUAAUCUACUACAACUGGUUCAUGUUGGCAUGUUGCAACAUAUCAUUUGAUUACUUUCUUCCUCAAUUUUUGUUUUUGGGUAGUGUCGUUGUUUUACAUAAAUUGGAUUGCUAAUCUUUUUUUGUUUGCCAACAAAACUAGAUUGCUAAUCAAAUAUCAAAGUAUGCAUUAACAAUACAGACACACUAAAGACAUCAGUUGACAAAUUAAAAAUCUUUAAAUUUGGUAAUACCAAAAAGAAUAUGAGCUAUUCUGCCUCAACACUAAACAACUUACAUCUUUACAAUUUAUCGCAUAAUUAUUGAGAAUGUACUAUAUAAGGCUUUGAUCAAUUUAACGACGACAUAAACAGCGUUUAAACAAAAUUCAAAGAUCGUAAUUCGUAACUCCUUAAAUUGCAAAGACAAACACAACCGAAUUGACAAAAUAACAAGAAUCAAGAAAAAACAUAAAUGGGAAAAAAAGAGAACCAAAAAACCCUAAAUAAUAAAGAAGAAGCCGAUAUAACACCUUGGUAGGUUCGAAGAUGAUCGAGCCUAUCCGCCGUUCCAUGACUUGCCGGUUCAACCCCACCGCUUUAACCGGGCCGGUUUGAAGAAUCAUCAUAACUACCGGUUAUUAUUAUUUGCAGGGAGUGAACAUUUUUUUAAGUUACGUGGUGAAAACCCUCCGGUCCACCUUGAAGCUUCUAUGGAAGCUCAGCUCAAGCUCCCCAUUUGGUUCCAACCUCUUAAUUUUGAUCCAUCUAGGGAGAUCUUGAUUAAACUUCCAUGGCUAAAAAUGGGGAGAGAGAGUUUUUGUCUUUCUACUUCUUGUCUUUAUAUAGGCAAUGAUUUUUUCAUUAAUUAUUUAGACUAGGAAAGAGUGAGAAACUCACACCAAAAAGCAUUGAUAAUCGAAUGCAUAUGAUGUAAAAACCAAAUUUAUAAUUAAAAUAACUAAAUGAUAACCAAAUUUACAACAAAAUCUAAACACUGCAAUCUUAUGAAAAUGGAAUGUUUUGAUCAAAUAAAAGAAUUGCGUAU
This 2155-nucleotide long non-coding RNA is filed under the name Eutrema salsugineum. RNAcentral describes it as "long non-coding RNA (ESAL_LNC000851)". The record is from RNAcentral. Lineage: Eukaryota; Viridiplantae; Streptophyta; Magnoliopsida; Brassicales; Brassicaceae.